CGGACGGGUGGAGUAACGACGUGGAUAACCUGCCGUAUGCAGGGGAGUACCAACUGGAAACAGUUGCUAAUACCGCAUAAGCGCACAGUACCGCAUGGUAUAGUGUGAAAAGAUUUAUCGGCAUACGAUGGAUCCGCGUCCGAUUAGCCAGUUGGCGGGGUAGAAGCCCACCAAAGCGACGAUCGGUAGCCGGCCUGAGAGGGCGGACGGCCACAUUGGGACUGAGACACGGCCCAAACUCCUACGGGAGGCAGCAG
This 257-nucleotide ribosomal RNA is filed under the name uncultured bacterium. RNAcentral's name for it is "partial 16S ribosomal RNA". It matches the Rfam family "Bacterial small subunit ribosomal RNA", at positions 99 to 354 of the family's 1533-position model. The record is from RNAcentral.